Molecule: long non-coding RNA, 1907 nt
Filed under: Nicotiana benthamiana
Lineage: Eukaryota; Viridiplantae; Streptophyta; Magnoliopsida; Solanales; Solanaceae
Description: long non-coding RNA (NBEN_LNC006815)
Source: RNAcentral
UCCAGCCCAGCUCUAUCCCAACUCGGUCCGCCCUUACUCGAACGACGUCAUUCAUAGUUCUUUGAGUUUAAAAUGAUCUGAGCCCUCCGUUCCAACAUAUCCAUCGGCGCCAAAUCACUUCCAUAUUUUAAUUAAAAUAUUCGACGACCCUAGUUUAACCUAAGACUUCUGUCUCGAUCAAAUACCGUCUCUCACCUCCACCCGUCGCCUACCAUAAUUCGCCCUUGGCAGCACUGAGGCUUCAAUCUACCUCAAUUUAACUUCACACAAUCCUCUCCAUCCCCCACCUCAAAUCCCUAACUUAUUUCCCUCAAAACAUCGUCGAGACUCUCGAAUCUCGUAUCUAAGGUCCACACCCUAAACAUUAAAAUCCCCAAACCUCCCAAGUCGUCUAGAUUCAUUGGUUGAUUAGAGUUGAAGUUGGUGUUGUUCGUCCAUUUUCAACAAGAACAUGUGACGAAUGCCAAUUUCGGCUUGAAAUCAAAGGGGCUGAAGUUUGUACAAAACCAUUGUCCGUCCACAUCUGUCAGGCAUUUCAGUUAUUCUUCCUUCAUCUUCACUUUUAUUCUCAUUCUCUAAUUUGUCGUUUUCUUUCCUUCUCUUCUUUAUUUUCUGCUUCAAAGAUUGUUUUGUUUGAUUUCAGAUUAAAUUGUUGAUCUCAUGGUCUAGUUUUGUUAGUUUUUUUCUUUUAUUUUGUUCAGUACUGGAUAAGUCUAUUUUUUUAGUUUCGUUAUGGUCCAAAUGAAUUGGUUCGUCACUGAUGUCGUCCAAAAUUAUUGUUGUUUCAUUUCUCCUUUCUUCUGCUUUCUGAAAUGGGUCUUGAUUUGGACUCCAUUUGGCUUGGGGCCUCCUCUACACAUAGACAGUCCCUUCAGCAUCAAGGCCCAAGGGUUUGUGGAUUUCUUUGGGAUUUUGAGUUUGUUUUCGAGCCCAGCUGGGGUCGAAGGUAAUUGGGAGGGGUAUUAAGGGUAGUCUAGAGAUUUUAACUAACAAAAUCUCUUGUAACGAUGAGGAAACUUCUAGGAAGGUGGGGUUUGGGACUGUUCAAAAAAAUAGAAUUUGAAUUAAGGGAUUCACUAGCAAAAUAAGAAUUUAAAAAUGAUUAAUGUGCAAAAUUUGAAGUUUAUUUCUACUGCCCCAGGGCUUCUCUAUAGAAGGCUGGUUACUUCCUAAUCUAGUUAGAUUUUUUAGAAUUAAUAACACUGAAAAUAAUUAGAAACGGCAGAGUUAAAAGUUAUUAAAAUUUCGAUGAAGAAUUUUGUUUUCGUUUCCUCGUUCUUUCUUAAUUUUUCAUAGUCCAGCCUUCCUCAACAAUUCCUGGUUAUUCUGUGUUCAAAAUGAUUUAAAAAACUUGAUUUGUUGCUAUUUGGUUUUGCCGAGUCACUGUUGUUGCUUCCUCUUUAGCUGAAUUAUUGCUGCUGUUUCUUCUUAAGCUCCAAGCUUAUUUUCAUUAUUAUUUUGAUGUAUUCAGGUAUACUUUGGACCUCAAAUGACAUGUUGAAAACGAAAGUUAGAUACAAUGUUUCAUUGCAGUCUAUUUUGUAUUAUUUGAUUUUGUACUCAGUUUUGUGUAUAUUUACGUGUUUGUUAAGUUGCCAUUAUUGAAGUAUUUGUAAAGUAAAUAAACAAUUUAGUCUAGUAUGUUUUGAGUUGUUAACUGAUUAGAGUGUUAUUAGACAUAUUUAAUCGUGCUUUGGUACUGCUAGUUUUAAUAUUGAGUAUUAUGUUCUGAAGGUGGACAUGUGAGCAUUGUUGGUGAGUGAUUGAACUUGCGUAUAGAAUUAAAUGGGAAUCCUUAUUUGGGUUUCAACAUUAUUCAAGAAUGGAGUUGGUGCCUGUUUGGCUUGUAAUAGUUUUUGGACCUCAUAAUUUUUAAAUAAGAAAUCAUUUGAGCAAUUAGACUUGAA